UACGUAGGGGGCAAGCGUUGUCCGGAUUUAUUGGGCGUAAAGAGCGUGUAGGCGGCCAUACAGGUCAGCUGUGAAAACUCGAGGCUCAACCUCGAGACGUCGGUUGAAACCGUAUGGCUAGAGUCCGGAAGAGGAGAGUGGAAUUCCCGGUGUAGCGGUGAAAUGCGCAGAUAUCGGGAAGAACACCCGUGGCGAAGGCGGCUUUCUGGUCUGUAACUGACGCUGAGGCGCGAAAGCGUGGGGAGCAAACAGG
RNAcentral lists this ribosomal RNA (253 nucleotides) under uncultured bacterium. Its description in RNAcentral is "partial 16S ribosomal RNA". It matches the Rfam family "Bacterial small subunit ribosomal RNA", at positions 524 to 776 of the family's 1533-position model. The record is from RNAcentral.